Molecule: ribosomal RNA, 460 nt
Filed under: uncultured bacterium
Lineage: Bacteria
Description: partial 16S ribosomal RNA
Rfam family: Bacterial small subunit ribosomal RNA
Source: RNAcentral
CCUACGGGCGGCAGCAGUGAGGAAUAUUGGUCAAUGGGCGCGAGCCUGAACCAGCCAAGUCGCGUGAGGGAAGACGGUCCUAUGGAUUGUAAACCUCUUUUGUAGCGGAGAAAAAGACGCCACGCGUGGCGUUCUGAGAGUACCCGAAGAAAAAGCAUCGGCUAACUCCGUGCCAGCAGCCGCGGUAAUACGGAGGAUGCGAGCGUUAUCCGGAUUUAUUGGGUUUAAAGGGUGCGUAGGUGGGUUGUUAAGUCAGUUGGGAAAUUUUGCGGCUCAACCGUAAAAUUGCAGUUGAUACUGGCAGUCUAGAGUACAGUAGAGGUGGGCGGAAUGCGUGGUGUAGCGGUGAAAUGCUUAGAUAUCACGAAGAACUCUGAUUGCGAAGGCAGUUCACUGGACUGCAACUGACACUGAGGCUCGAAAGUGUGGGUAUCAAACAGGAGUAGAUACCCCAGUAGUC